GGAAAAGCGAUGAUAAAGAAGAGUAAUUAUAGUGAGAUUUAAAGAGAGGAGGUUUUAAGCUGAAAGACUUCUAUUUAAGCUAUAGUGAAAGUGCACUUUUGAGCAAAUGAUUUGAAAUUAAGUAGGAUCAUUACGGUUCGCCGUUUAUAGGGGAUUGAGUGAGAUUUUUUAAUCUAAUUUGAGUGGAACCACGGAGUACAUAGCUUCGUCUCAUUA
The sequence is a non-coding RNA, 216 nucleotides long. It matches the Rfam family "T-box leader". Rfam says of the family: Uncharged tRNA acts as the effector for transcription antitermination of genes in the T-box leader family. T-boxes are found upstream of many aminoacyl-tRNA synthetase genes and some amino acid biosynthetic genes usually in Gram-positive bacteria.